RNAcentral lists this ribosomal RNA (481 nucleotides) under uncultured bacterium. RNAcentral describes it as "partial 16S ribosomal RNA". It matches the Rfam family "Bacterial small subunit ribosomal RNA", at positions 28 to 523 of the family's 1533-position model. The record is from RNAcentral.
GACGAACGCUGGCGGCGUGCUUAACACAUGCAAGUCGAACGAUGAAGGAGAGCUUGCUCUCCGGAUUAGUGGCGAACGGGUGAGUAACACGUGACUAACCUGCCCCUUUCACCGGGAUAACGCUCCGAAAGGAGUGCUAAUACCGGAUACGAACUCUGAACACAUGUUCGGAGUUGGAAAGUUUUUCGGAAAGGGAUGGAGUCGCGGCCCAUCAGCUUGUUGGUGAGGUAACGGCUCACCAAGGCGACGACGGGUAGCCGGCCUGAGAGGACGACCGGCCAGACUGGGACUGAGACACGGCCCAGACUCCUGCGGGAGGCAGCAGUGGGGAAUAUUGCACAAUGGGCGAAAGCCUAAUGCAGCGACGCCGCGUGAGGGAUGAAGGUCUUCGGAUUGUAAACCUCUUUCAGUAGGGACGAAGCGAAAGUGACGGUACCUAAAGAAGAAGCACCGGCUAACUACGUGCCAGCCGCCGCCGUAA